Molecule: ribosomal RNA, 166 nt
Filed under: Brachionus calyciflorus
Lineage: Eukaryota; Metazoa; Rotifera; Eurotatoria; Ploima; Brachionidae
Description: 5.8S ribosomal RNA
Rfam family: 5.8S ribosomal RNA
About the family: 5.8S ribosomal RNA (5.8S rRNA) is a component of the large subunit of the eukaryotic ribosome. It is transcribed by RNA polymerase I as part of the 45S precursor that also contains 18S and 28S rRNA.
Source: RNAcentral
UAAAUACAACCCUAUGCGGUGGAUCACUUGGCUCGCGAGUCGAUGAAGAGCGCAGCAAGCUGCGUGAAUUAAUGUGAUUUGCAGGACACAUUGAUCAUCGAUAUCUUGAACGCAUAUUGCGGUUAUGGAUCGCUUCCAUGACCACGCCUGUCUGAGGGUCGGUAUU